UGUCCAGGGAUGGGAAUCGAACCCACAAUGUUCCGCUUACCGGGCAGAUGCCAUGUCCAUUAGGCUAACCUGGAC
RNAcentral lists this transfer RNA (75 nucleotides) under Cordylochernes scorpioides. Its description in RNAcentral is "tRNA-Thr". Lineage: Eukaryota; Metazoa; Arthropoda; Arachnida; Pseudoscorpiones; Chernetidae. The record is from RNAcentral.